GCUGGGUAUGGCAGUGCAUGCCUAUAGUCCUAGCUACUUGGAAGGCUGAGACAGGAGGAUUGCUUGAGCCCAGGAGCUCAAGGUUGCAGUGAGCUAUGAUCAUCAUGCCAUUGUACUCCAGCCUGGGCAACAGAGUGAGACCUUGUCUCUU
Molecule: non-coding RNA, 151 nt
Filed under: Homo sapiens (human)
Lineage: Eukaryota; Metazoa; Chordata; Mammalia; Primates; Hominidae
Source: Rfam by way of RNAcentral